RNAcentral lists this small RNA (82 nucleotides) under Roseateles aquatilis. Its description in RNAcentral is "Xanthomonas sRNA sX9". It matches the Rfam family "Xanthomonas sRNA sX9". The record is from Rfam by way of RNAcentral. Lineage: Bacteria; Pseudomonadati; Pseudomonadota; Betaproteobacteria; Burkholderiales; Sphaerotilaceae.
ACGUACAGGACGUACGUUCCGGUUCCUGCGCGCCGUCCGCCUGGCCUGACACCCGCUCGCUACGGCCGGUACGCUGUCAACG